Molecule: ribosomal RNA, 468 nt
Filed under: uncultured bacterium
Lineage: Bacteria
Description: partial 16S ribosomal RNA
Rfam family: Bacterial small subunit ribosomal RNA
Source: RNAcentral
GACGAACGCUGGCGGCGUGCUUAACACAUGCAAGUCGAACGGAAAGGCCCUGCUUUUGUGGGGUGCUCGAGUGGCGAACGGGUGAGUAACACGUGAGUAGCCUGCCCUUGACUUUGGGAUAACUUCAGGAAACUGGGGCUAAUACCGGAUAGGAGCUCCUGCUGCAUGGUGGGGGUUGGAAAGUUUCGGCGGUUGGGGAUGGACUCGCGGCUUAUCAGCUUGUUGGUGGGGUAGUGGCUUACCAAGGCUUUGACGGGUAGCCGGCCUGAGAGGGUGACCGGCCACAUAGGGACAGAGAUACGGCCCAGACGCCUACGGGAGGCAGCAGUGGGGAAUAUUGCACAAUGGGCGGAAGCCUGAGGCAGCAACGCCGCGUGCGGGAUGACGGCCUUCGGGUUGUAAACCGCUUUCGCCUGUGACGAAGCGUGAGUGACGGUAAUGGGUAGAGAAGCACCGGCUAACUACGUG